GCACUUGAUGCUGUGGGGGGGGGACAGGGGGUAGGAGGCAGUGAGGAGGAGCAGGAGAAAGAGAAGGAAAAGAACGAAAUGAUGGAAGAAGCCGAGGGAAGAAGGAAAAGGGGAUGGCAUUAGGAGGAAGAGGAGAGGGAGGAGAAAAAGGGAGAAAAAAAAACGAGGGAAGAGGGAAAAGGGGUUGGCAUUAGGAGGAAGAGGAGAGGGAGGAGGAGAAAAAGGAAGAGAAGGAAAAGUCAACAAAUGAGAAAAAUAAGAAAAUGAAGUGGCAGGGGAGGAGAAAAUUAAAGGAAAAGGACAACAAUUGGGUGAAAAAAGAAAGAAGAAGGAGCAGUAGAGAAAAAUAAAAAGGAGGAAAAGGAAGCAGAAGAGACAUAGAAAGAUGGAAAAGGAGGAUUAAAAAAUAAGGAAGAAGAAAAAAUAGGACAGUAAGAAAAAGGGAAAGAAGGAAAGCAAGGAAGAUGAAGGGAAAGAAAAGUGUAAAGAGAAGAAAAAAGAAGAAUGAGGUGGGAUAGGAUAAGGGUAAGGAAGGGCAGGAUGGGGCAGGGGAUCCAAACUUAAUAAAAAAAAAAAAAUACAGCAUAGCACAGCACACCAACCAUCUCUCAAGCCAAAAAGAAGAAUAAGACUUAAGUGUACAGAAAAAUAAGAAACACACAGCCAGGGUGGACCGAGGACCCUCCAGCACCCUCCUCCACCCGGCGCUCCACUAGGCCAGGCUCACAAGCUGCCAUAGUAAGCUGCAGCGGCGGAGAGCGACACAUGUAAACAGACCAUUGACGUUGAUGCUCCGUUCCCUGGUGUAGAGGCUUGUUUGGGGUGUAAGGAAGAUGUUGAUGGAGUGUGUAUAGAGAGGUGUGAUGGGGUGUGAAUUGAAGGGAUACUGAUGGGAUAGUGAAGGGAGGUGUGAUGGGGAAUGUAUAGGGAGGUGGUGAAGGGAUAUGAAAAGAAGGGUGUGAAGGGGUAUGUAAAGAAGGAAGGUGGAGAUGGGGUAAUGAAGGGAGGUAUGUGGUGGUGGGGGUGGUGGGAUAUGGGAGGUGUGAUGGGCAAUGUAUAGGAAGGUGGUGAUGGGCUAUGAAAAGAAGGAUUGUGAAGGGGUAUGUAAAGAAGGGAGGUGGUGAUGGGGUAAUGAAGGGAGGUAUGUGUUGGUGGGGGUGAUUAAGAGUGUGUUUGAUAGCUUAUCCCAGUAGCAGCAACGAGCCCAGUUUGUGGCUUUACCGUGUAGCAGAGACGGGCCAAUUUUGUGCCAUGAUAUAAACCCCCCAAAAUAGAUGAUGCAUAAUCUGAUCACAAAUACAUUGAUAUAUAUUAUGAAAUGGUUUGUGCGAGGGGUGAUUUUUUCUCAUUUUUCUCGCCUGGAGGGACCAUUAAAAACAUGAUCCCUGCUGCUACCGGGUUAAUAUACACUUCAUUUCUAUUUUUCCAGAGUUGAUUUUUCCCUUGAUAUUAGAACUAACUAGAAUGGCAUAUGGGAAAAUCAACAAGUAUACCCUGAACACACUAACCAUCACACCCUCUAUUGCCUUGUGUGUGUGUGUGUGUGUGUGUGUGUGUGUUCAAGGGUAUGCAUUGGGAAGGGAGGUGAUGGGUGGAGAAAGUGAAGGGGGCGUAUGGCAUAUGAGAAUCAACAUAACAUACCCUGAACACACCAUCUGUCACACUCCAUUGCCUUGUGCGGAAGUAUGUGUGUUUGUGUGUGUUCAGGGGUAUGUGUGAGGAAGGGAGGUGAUGGGUGAUGGGUGGGGAAAGCAAAGGGGGUGUAUGGCAUAUGAGAAUCAACGAACAUACCCUGAACACACCAUCUGUCACACUCCAUUGCCUUGUGCGGAGGUGUGUGUGUGUUUGUGUGUGUUCAGGGGUAUGUGUGAGGGAGGGAGGUGAUGGUGAGGGGUGAUAGGGUGAGGGAAGAUAAGGGGAGGGGGUCACAGGUCUGGGUUGUGCUUCCAUUCACAUUUAACUCAUGUCUGAUUCUCUUCACAUCUCUUUUAAACAACACACACAGAAAAAGAAGAAAAAAAAGAUGCUUAUUCAUAUACACACUCACACACACACUCGCCCAGAUAUUCAUAAAGCUUAUAGUCUUAAAAUUGAAAUACUCACUCAUAUCUCUGAUCUUAAUUCACACCAGUUGUUCAUACAUAUUAAUACUAAACACACACACACACACACACACACACACACAGAUACA
Long non-coding RNA from Eriocheir sinensis (Chinese mitten crab), 2191 nucleotides. RefSeq lists it as uncharacterized. NCBI's taxonomy places the organism in Eukaryota, Metazoa, Arthropoda, Malacostraca, Decapoda, Varunidae. The transcript is spliced from 2 exons. The record is from RefSeq and is a predicted model, not a curated record.